CAAGUGAAGGGCACUAUACUUGAGUUACCCUUGUAGAUGCUCUUAAUACAGCUGCGGAAUGGCUUCCAUCACUGUGGUUUCUGCUGACGCCGCCGAAGACCGUACGCCGCUUCUCCAAGAUUCUUACACGGAAUAUUCCGGCGGAGAGGGGUAUACUAUACCACCGGCGCCGCCGCCGCCGCCUAUUAUUUCAAUCGAUCCUAAGCAACGCCUUGUAUCGCUUGAUGUUUUCCGAGGACUCACUGUUGCUUUGAUGAUAUUGGUUGAUGAUGCUGGAGGAGCAUUUCCGUCAAUAAACCAUGCGCCGUGGUUCGGAUUGACUCUCGCAGACUUUGUUAUGCCGUUUUUUCUCUUUGGAGUUGGUGUUUCUGUCAGUCUCGUCUUCAAGAAAGUAGAAAACAGAUUAGAAGCCACGAAGAGAGUAAUGUCAAGAUCGAUCAAGCUCUUUCUCCUGGGAAUGAUCCUUCAAGGUGGUUAUUUUCAUGGCCGCGGAGAUUUAACUUAUGGAAUUGAUGUGGAGAAAAUACGAGUAAUGGGUGUGCUACAGCGAAUUGCAAUUGGGUAUUUGCUGACUUCAGUGUUGGAGAUCUGGCUUGUUAACAACACUGCUGUUAAUUCAACAAUAACAUUCAUGAAGAGAUAUUCUUUUCAGAUUGUGGCCGGGAUUUUAGUUGGUGUACUGUACAUGGUUCUGCUGUAUGGCCUCUAUGUUCCAGACUGGAACUUUAAUGCAUCAAGUCUCAGCAUGACUCAACAAACACUACUUGGUGCUAAUUCUCAAACUGUCUAUUGUGGAAUAAGGGGUAGUCUUGGACCUCCUUGCAAUGCAGUUGGCUUCAUUGAUCGAGUUAUUGUCGGUGAAAACCAUCUGUAUCAACGUCCUGUAUAUAGAAGAACCAAGGAAUGCAGUGUCAAUUCGCCAGAUUAUGGUCCUCCACCACCAAAUUCCCCUGCAUGGUGUCUUGCUCCAUUCGAUCCAGAGGGCAUUUUAAGCUCUUUGAUGGCUGCCAUUACAUGUCUGGUUGGGUUGCAUUACGGGCACAUUCUUGUGCACUGUAAGGUAAUAUGUAUUUUCUUCUUCCUUGCACACGUGGAUGGAGUCCCGUUGUUUGUCAUAUUCUGGUGUCCAAUUUUUUUCUUGCAGGAUCAGAAGCAGAGAAUAAUUAUCUGGUUUAUAUCAUCUCUCCCUCUUCUUAUCUUGGGCUAUCUUUUAAAUGUCACAGGCAUUCCUCUUUCUAAACCACUAUACACAUUAAGCUAUAUGUUUGUCACAGCAGGAGCUUCUGGUGUUGUUUUAACCGUUAUCUAUUUUAUCGUAGAUACAAGAUGCAUUAGGAAGCCGACUCUAUUAUUUCAGUGGAUGGGAAUGAAUGCGCUGAUAGUUUAUGCUCUGGCUGCUUGCGAUAUAUUUCCAGCCGCCGUUCAAGGUUUCUACUGGCGUUCGCCCGAAAACAAUCUGGUGCUGAAAACAACCAUGUCCAAGCCAACAAUUUCACUUCAUACCUUCCAAUCUGUGAUGAUUCUCUGAAGCCAUAUGUAGGCCAAACUUUCAAUUCAGUAGAUGAUGCGUUUGACUUCUAUGCACUAUAUGGAUAUUCAUCUAGAUUUGAUGUUCGGAGAGGCACGACCAAAAAAGGUAAAUAUGAUCAGAUACCAUAUCAGAUAUUUUUUUGCAUCAGGGAAGGGAUUAACCCCGGCAAGAAUGAGAAGCAUCCAGAAAAUCAGCCGAAAACUACUAAGAGGCGACGUAAGCCAUCUACCAGGAAUGCCUGUCGUGCACGGGUCAUAACUAGAAUAUUGGAUGGGGGUGAAUUCAUUAUUAGCAGAUUUGAUGAAGUUCACAAUCACAAAUUAAUAUCUCCAGAUUGUCGUCACUUAAUGAAAUACAAUCGGAAGGUUGAUCCUAGCGUGAUACUGAUGAUCAGUUCAAGUGUGAGUACCUUCUCGACGAAUGUCAUAAGGUGAAGAGCAUAUUCUGGAGCGACGCCGUUGGGGUUCAUAACUACAAGGUAUUUGGAGAUUCUGUUUCAUUUGAUGCCACAUAUACUACAAACCGGUACGACAUGAUAUUUGCACCAUUCACGGGGAAGGAUAACCAUGGCGGUUGCGUUACAUUUGCAGCUGGGUUACUAACGAGGGAAGAUGUGAGUUCAUACUCUUGGAUCCUCAAACAAUUUGUAGACUGCAUGGGUCACACUCCAACUAUGUUGAUAACAGACCAAGAUCCGGCACUAAAGAUUGCCGUUGAGAAUGUUAUGCCGGCCACAAGACACAGAUUCUGCAUGUGGCACAUAAUGAUGAAGGUGGCUAAGAAGCUUCCAAUUUCUCUUCAGGAUAAUGCUGAGUUGACGAGCAAUUUAUAUGAAGUUGCGUGGUCGGAGAUCGACGAGCCUAGUGCAUUUGAAGAGAAGUGGACAGAGGUUAUAAAUGAAUAUGGUUUGGCAGACCAUUCUUGGUUUUCAGAUAUGUUUUCUCUGCGCAAGUACUGGAUUCCAGCAUAUUUCCGUGAUUUAAGAAUGAGCGGCCUAUUUAGAACGACGUCGAUGUCGAAAAGCGAGAAUAGUUUCUUUCGUAAGUACUUGAAUUGGCAUUCUAACUUGGCCGCAUUCUACAUCCACUACGAAAGUGCAAUGCAGGCUCAGAGGCACUCCUACAAACAGCUGUGCAUGAUCGACCAAACAACCACUCCUAAAUUGAAGACAAACAAGCCCAUAGAGCAGCACGCAAGUCGCAUCUAUACCUCGAAGAUUUUUUUGGAAGUACAGGUUGAAAUCGUUGAGGCAUUCAACCGUUGCCGCACAAGAUCCAUGGAUACAGGACAUGAAGAACAUAGAUAUGCAGUUGAUGAUCGAUCCAGUGGUGUUUUCAAUGUUGCUCAUAAUACGUUAUCGGACACCAUAGAUUGCUCAUGCAAACAUUUCUUGAAGAAGGGAUUGGUAUGCAGGCAUAUGUUUGUGGUUAUGCAUAACAUUGGUCUCAAUGCUAUUCCUCAAAAGUACAUUCUUGGAAGAUGGAUGCAGAAUGCAGGAGUAGGUGUGAUGUCUAAUACUCAGACACAAGCAUCCAAUAAGCCUUUAAUGUCUGAGGCGUUUAGGUGCAUUGCAAUUGCUGAUGGGAAUGAGGCUUUAUCUGUGUCCCUAAUAGCUGAACUCAAGAGAUGGGCAGACGCGAAUCAACCUCAAUCUUCAACGUCUGUAAAUGCCAAGGAAAGAAUGUUCCAAACAUUUUAUGGUGCCAAACUGCCCACGAAAAUAACUAUUCAUCCUCCUGAUCAUGUUAAGACCAAAGGUAGUGGCAAGCGGCUUAAGUCAACCUAUGAGAAAGAGCUUGAGAAGGCCAAGAAACCGAGGAGACGGUGCCAGAAGUGUGGCUUUAUGGUGCGUCACGACUCGCGUAAUUGUGGCAAAGUAGUCGAGGAGGACAGUGAAGAGGAGUAAGAAGGAUUUUUUAAUUUCAAUGUUGCUCAGUUACAUUGAGUUUUGUUAGCACGAUAAAUUGAUUAUUAUCUUCUUUAUUGACAAGGCUUUUCAAUAGUACAAGU
RNA transcript from Salvia miltiorrhiza (redroot sage), 3541 nucleotides. RefSeq lists it as uncharacterized. The transcript is spliced from 13 exons. The record is from RefSeq and is a predicted model, not a curated record. NCBI's taxonomy places the organism in Eukaryota, Viridiplantae, Streptophyta, Magnoliopsida, Lamiales, Lamiaceae.